CUCCUGGUGGCCAAGUUGGCUAAGGCGCGAGACUGUAAAUGUUCUCUUUCAGGGAAAUCUUGAGAUCGGGUGUUCGAAUCACCCCCAGGAGA
Molecule: transfer RNA, 92 nt
Rfam family: tRNA
About the family: Transfer RNA (tRNA) molecules are approximately 80 nucleotides in length. Their secondary structure includes four short double-helical elements and three loops (D, anti-codon, and T loops). Further hydrogen bonds mediate the characteristic L-shaped molecular structure. tRNAs have two regions of fundamental functional importance: the anti-codon, which is responsible for specific mRNA codon recognition, and the 3' end, to which the tRNAs corresponding amino acid is attached (by aminoacyl-tRNA synthetases). tRNAs cope with the degeneracy of the genetic code in two manners: having more than one tRNA (with a specific anti-codon) for a particular amino acid; and 'wobble' base-pairing, i.e. permitting non-standard base-pairing at the 3rd anti-codon position.
Source: Rfam